AUGAAGGUAUGGGGAGAGAGCUGUUUUUACAGCCACCGAAGAAGUAAAUCUUUCAGGUAAAUGGACCUAUACUGGACG
Ilyobacter polytropus DSM 2926 is the source of this 78-nucleotide regulatory RNA element. It matches the Rfam family "Glycine riboswitch aptamer". Rfam says of the family: This family represents the bacterial glycine riboswitch. The record is from Rfam. NCBI's taxonomy places the organism in Bacteria, Fusobacteriati, Fusobacteriota, Fusobacteriia, Fusobacteriales, Fusobacteriaceae.